CACCGCGGUUAUACGAGAGGCCCAAGUUGACAGACUUUCGGCGUAAAGAGUGGUUAAUGGAAGAUUAUACUAAAGCCGAACGCCUUCAGAACUGUUAUACGUACUCGAAGGUAAGAAGCCCUACCACGAAAGUGGCUUUAUACACUUGACCCCACGAAAGCUGUGAAA
This 168-nucleotide ribosomal RNA is filed under the name Opistognathus aurifrons (yellowhead jawfish). Its description in RNAcentral is "partial 12S rRNA". Lineage: Eukaryota; Metazoa; Chordata; Actinopteri; Opistognathidae. The record is from RNAcentral.